Molecule: ribosomal RNA, 301 nt
Filed under: uncultured bacterium
Lineage: Bacteria
Description: partial 16S ribosomal RNA
Rfam family: Bacterial small subunit ribosomal RNA
Source: RNAcentral
CAGCAGCCGCGGUAAUACGAGGGGGGCUAGCGUUGUUCGGAUUUACUGGGCGUAAAGCGCACGUAGGCGGACUUUUAAGUCAGGGGUGAAAUCCCGGGGCUCAACCCCGGAACUGCCUUUGAUACUGGGAGUCUUGAGUUCGAAAGAGGUGAGUGGAAUUGCGAGUGUAGAGGUGAAAUUCGUAGAUAUUCGCAGGAACACCAGUGGCGAAGGCGGCUCACUGGUUCGAUACUGACGCUGAGGUGCGAAAGCGUGGGGAGCAAACAGGAUUAGAUACCCCCGUAGUCCCUGUCUCUUAUAC